Long non-coding RNA from Drosophila sechellia, 915 nucleotides. RefSeq lists it as uncharacterized. The record is from RefSeq and is a predicted model, not a curated record. NCBI's taxonomy places the organism in Eukaryota, Metazoa, Arthropoda, Insecta, Diptera, Drosophilidae. The transcript has 4 exons.
UCGCAAAAGUUAGCGAUUUUGUUUUGCUAUAGUGAGGCCCGUCUCCUGAUUUACGUGCGCAUCAUCGGCAGGAUGAGGGCGAAUUUUUGUAUCUGCUGGAUUGCCUGUCAGGUUUGCAAUUUUCUGUGUCUUUGAUUAAUUUAGUAUUAUAUUUUUAUUAAUUUUCCUUUCUUUAUAGGUUGUCGGGAAGUCAUUGAGAAAACGGUAUUGCGGAGAUUUAUACAAUUUGGAGACGGAUUUUAAUUCAUUUUAAUAUGAAGUUAGUUCCGGGAUAGUGAUCCUUGUGAGUGCAGUGGCAUCAGGAGAUGGAGACGGCGUUGUAAGGUUGUCAGUUUUUUGUGUUUAUAAUCGCGAAAGGUGGCGAUUUUGUUUUUCUUUUGCGGAGCCGGUCUUCUCUUGAUGGUUGUGUUGGAUCACCAGUUGGCUCUGGUUAUUGAGGUUUUAGCGUCAACUAAUGUAGGCGCUCGUCGAUCUGGAAGAUUAUCAGAGUAGCAGGAAGGAUAGAUUUUGCUGCUCCGCGCAAGGUGCCCUGAUCGGAGCAUAGGCAGCUUAUAUGGCCCGUCAAUUGCAGCGCAGCACUGCAAGUAGAUUGUAUCGGUGAUAAGGGAUACUACCAGGGACUGUGUGGCGAAGAAAGUUCAGUUGGUUUUCUCCGCAUCGUUUCGUCAGGAUCAGCUGGAGUGCGUUGUCUUAGGAUUGCUCAUCCGGAUGCGUUGAGAUAAAUUAGGCUGCGUCGAGAAGGGUGGUGACAGUGGAGGAGGUUUAUAAGCAGACAGACGUGCGCUUUUCCAUCGGAUAAAGAUAUCGUUUAUUUAGAUGUAAGAGGAUAUAGAUUUAAUUUGAUGUGUCCAUGUCAAGAUUAUUGUUUCUUAUUUGUAAGAUUAAGGCCAUUAAAAUGUCAAUUUUCUUUUCUAA